This 394-nucleotide ribosomal RNA is filed under the name uncultured bacterium. Its description in RNAcentral is "bacterial SSU rRNA". It matches the Rfam family "Bacterial small subunit ribosomal RNA", at positions 29 to 420 of the family's 1533-position model. The record is from RNAcentral.
AUUGAACGCUGGCGGCAGGCCUAACACAUGCAAGUCGAACGGUAGCACAGAGAGCUUGCUCUCGGGUGACGAGUGGCGGACGGGUGAGUAAUGUCUGGGAAACUGCCUGAUGGAGGGGGAUAACUACUGGAAACGGUAGCUAAUACCGCAUAACGUCGCAAGACCAAAGAGGGGGACCUUCGGGCCUCUUGCCAUCAGAUGUGCCCAGAUGGGAUUAGCUAGUAGGUGGGGUAACGGCUCACCUAGGCGACGAUCCCUAGCUGGUCUGAGAGGAUGACCAGCCACACUGGAACUGAGACACGGUCCAGACUCCUACGGGAGGCAGCAGUGGGGAAUAUUGCGCAAUGGGCGAAAGCCUGACGCAGCAACGCCGCGUGCGGGAUGACGGCCUCGG